ACUCAAAUGAAUUGACGGGGGCCCGCACAAGCGGUGGAGCAUGUGGUUCAAUUCGACGCAACGCGAAGAACCUUACCCAGGCUUGAACAGCGAGUGACCAACUACGAAAGUGGUCUUCCGCAAGGACACUCGUAGAGGUGCUGCAUGGCUGUCGUCAGCUCGUGUCGUGAGAUGUUGGGUUAAGUCCCGCAACGAGCGCAACCCUUGUUUUCUGUUGCCAUCAGGUAAUGCUGGGCACUCUGGAGAGACUGCCGGUGAUAAACCGGAGGAAGGUGGGGAUGACGUCAAGUCAGCAUGGCCUUUAUGUCUGGGGCUACACACGUGCUACAAUGGCGGAUACAAAGCGUCGCGAGCCCGCGAGGGGGAGCUAAUCGCAUAAAGUCCGUCUCAGUUCGGAUAGCAGGCUGCAACUCGCCUGCUUGAAGUCGGAAUCGCUAGUAAUCGCGGAUCAGCACGCCGCGGUGAAUACGUUCCCGGGCCUUGUACACACCGCCCGU
RNAcentral lists this ribosomal RNA (497 nucleotides) under uncultured bacterium. Its description in RNAcentral is "partial 16S ribosomal RNA". It matches the Rfam family "Bacterial small subunit ribosomal RNA", at positions 899 to 1397 of the family's 1533-position model. The record is from RNAcentral.